GCUUAGCCCUAAAUCCCGAUACUUACCCCACCCAAGUAUCCGCCCGAGAACUACGAGCACAAACGCUUAAAACUCUAAGGACUUGGCGGUGCCCUAAACCCACCUAGAGGAGCCUGUUCUAUAAUCGAUAACCCACGAUACACCCGACCAUCUCUUGCCCAUGCAGCCUACAUACCGCCGUCCCCAGCCCGCCUUAAAUGAGAGAACAGCAAGCAUAAUAGCUACCCGCUAGCAAGACAGGUCAAGGUAUAGCAUAUGAGAUGGAAGAAAUGGGCUACAUUUUCUAGUCUAGAACAGAACGAAAGAGGGCAUGAAACACCCUCCGAAGGCGGAUUUAGCAGUAAAGUGGGAUCAGAAAGCCCACUUUAAGCCGGCCCUAGGGC
This 383-nucleotide ribosomal RNA is filed under the name Rhea pennata. RNAcentral describes it as "Pterocnemia pennata partial 12S ribosomal RNA". It matches the Rfam family "Bacterial small subunit ribosomal RNA", at positions 794 to 1380 of the family's 1533-position model. Lineage: Eukaryota; Metazoa; Chordata; Aves; Rheiformes; Rheidae. The record is from RNAcentral.